RNAcentral lists this ribosomal RNA (1388 nucleotides) under Escherichia fergusonii. Its description in RNAcentral is "16S ribosomal RNA". It matches the Rfam family "Bacterial small subunit ribosomal RNA". The record is from RNAcentral. Lineage: Bacteria; Pseudomonadati; Pseudomonadota; Gammaproteobacteria; Enterobacterales; Enterobacteriaceae. RNAcentral also lists the same sequence under 1 other name.
UAGAGUUUGAUCCUGGCUCAGAUUGAACGCUGGCGGCAGGCCUAACACAUGCAAGUCGAACGGUAACAGGAAUCAGCUUGCUGAUUCGCUGACGAGUGGCGGACGGGUGAGUAAUGUCUGGGAAACUGCCUGAUGGAGGGGGAUAACUACUGGAAACGGUAGCUAAUACCGCAUAACGUCGCAAGACCAAAGAGGGGGACCUUCGGGCCUCUUGCCAUCGGAUGUGCCCAGAUGGGAUUAGCUAGUAGGUGGGGUAACGGCUCACCUAGGCGACGAUCCCUAGCUGGUCUGAGAGGAUGACCAGCCACACUGGAACUGAGACACGGUCCAGACUCCUACGGGAGGCAGCAGUGGGGAAUAUUGCACAAUGGGCGCAAGCCUGAUGCAGCCAUGCCGCGUGUAUGAAGAAGGCCUUCGGGUUGUAAAGUACUUUCAGCGGGGAGGAAGGGAGUAAAGUUAAUACCUUUGCUCAUUGACGUUACCCGCAGAAGAAGCACCGGCUAACUCCGUGCCAGCAGCCGCGGUAAUACGGAGGGUGCAAGCGUUAAUCGGAAUUACUGGGCGUAAAGCGCACGCAGGCGGUUUGUUAAGUCAGAUGUGAAAUCCCCGGGCUCAACCUGGGAACUGCAUCUGAUACUGGCAAGCUUGAGUCUCGUAGAGGGGGGUAGAAUUCCAGGUGUAGCGGUGAAAUGCGUAGAGAUCUGGAGGAAUACCGGUGGCGAAGGCGGCCCCCUGGACGAAGACUGACGCUCAGGUGCGAAAGCGUGGGGAGCAAACAGGAUUAGAUACCCCUGGUAGUCCACGCCGUAAACGAUGUCGACUUGGAGGUUGUGCCCUUGAGGCGUGGCUUCCCGGAGCUAACGCGUUAAGUCGACCGCCUGGGGAGUACGGCCGCAAGGUUAAAACUCAAAUGAAUUGACGGGGGCCCGCACAAGCGGUGGAGCAUGUGGUUUAAUUCGAUGCAACGCGAAGAACCUUACCUGGUCUUGACAUCCACAGAACUUUCCAGAGAUGGAUUGGUGCCUUCGGGAACUGUGAGACAGGUGCUGCAUGGCUGUCGUCAGCUCGUGUUGUGAAAUGUUGGGUUAAGUCCCGCAACGAGCGCAACCCUUAUCCUUUGUUGCCAGCGGUCCGGCCGGGAACUCAAAGGAGACUGCCAGUGAUAAACUGGAGGAAGGUGGGGAUGACGUCAAGUCAUCAUGGCCCUUACGACCAGGGCUACACACGUGCUACAAUGGCGCAUACAAAGAGAAGCGACCUCGCGAGAGCAAGCGGACCUCAUAAAGUGCGUCGUAGUCCGGAUUGGAGUCUGCAACUCGACUCCAUGAAGUCGGAAUCGCUAGUAAUCGUGGAUCAGAAUGCCACGGUGAAUACGUUCCCGGGCCUUG